CAUCCUACGGGAGGCAGCAGUGGGGAAUAUUGCACAAUGGGCGCAAGCCUGAUGCAGCCAUGCCGCGUGUAUGAAGAAGGCCUUCGGGUUGUAAAGUACUUUCAGCAGUGAGGAAGGUGGGUAUGUUAAUAGCAUACUCAUUUGACGUUAGCUGCAGAAGAAGCACCGGCUAACUCCGUGCCAGCAGCCGCGGUAAUACGGAGGGUGCGAGCGUUAAUCGGAAUUACUGGGCGUAAAGCGCAUGCAGGUGGUUUGUUAAGUCAGAUGUGAAAGCCCGGGGCUCAACCUCGGAAUUGCAUUUGAAACUGGCAAACUAGAGUACUGUAGAGGGGGUAGAAUUUCAGGUGUAGCGGUGAAAUGCGUAGAGAUCUGAAGGAAUACCGGUGGCGAAGGCGGCCCCCUGGACAGAUACUGACACUCAGAUGCGAAAGCGUGGGGAGCAAACAGGAUUAGAUACCCUGGUAG
Molecule: ribosomal RNA, 465 nt
Filed under: uncultured bacterium
Lineage: Bacteria
Description: bacterial SSU rRNA
Rfam family: Bacterial small subunit ribosomal RNA
Source: RNAcentral